Molecule: long non-coding RNA, 9478 nt
Organism: Phyllostomus discolor (pale spear-nosed bat)
Lineage: Eukaryota; Metazoa; Chordata; Mammalia; Chiroptera; Phyllostomidae
Exons: 7
Source: RefSeq, a predicted model, not a curated record
AAAUAUUCACUAUAAAUAAUCAUUAAUUUUGGCAAACACUUGUCAAAUGUUCUUAAUGAGGAGAUUAAAACAGAUGUGAUAAUGACUAGUAGGCAAAACAAGUUGUUCCAGCUGUUUGCCAAGCCGUCAGAAAAAAAUCCCUUCUUCCUCCACCCUCUUACGUACAGUAAUUUAUGUAUAACUCAAUUGCAGCACUUAUUUGCCUUUGAUGUAUAUUCUUAGGUGUCUUUCCAGUUAAAAUGUUUACACCCUGAGGGCAGGACCUGUACUGCAACUCUGUAAGGAUCUCUUAAAGGGUGUCUGUCCCUCUGUAAACCUUGUGGGCCAAUAAACAGCACAAAAAUUUCCAUUUGCUUGUCCCCCAUUUAGCAACUUCCACCUCCCUCUUUUUCCUUGUCUUUGAAAUGUAAGUGUAAUAUUUGCCCAGACUUGGGAGGCAACAUUGCAUAAUGGAUUUAGAAGUCAGCCUGGUUUUAACUCUUUGCUCUCUGACUUAUUAGCUCUCUGACCCUGGGAAAAUUGCUUAGCUCCUUUAAUUUCUUCUCUGUAAAAUGAAGAUAACAGGCUCUACUUUAUGAAGUGUGCAGAUGAAAGGAGAUCAUGUUUUAAAGACUUUAGCAAGUUGCCUAGUGUAACUCUUGAUAAAUGGUGACAGUUAACUAUUGCUAUUUCCUCAAAGGGACAGAUAUACCCACCAAAACAAAAAGCAAAAGCAAGCAAGCAAACAAACAAACAAAAACCAAAAGAUCAUUGGCUAGUUCUUGCCUUUCCCUCUAGUGUACACAACAACUUCUGUGUUGGAUGCAAGCAGAGGCUAAAUGUCAAUAGAGGUUAGGUCUGAGACUCUUAACAAAGUCAAUCUGGAAUGUAUGCCUGUUGAUAAAAAUUAGGUUUUUAUGUUUUCAAAACUGAAAGAGGUGUUCAGAGUAUUGAAAUAAGGGGAAAAUAGGGUAGGGCGGGGUAGUAGUAACCAUAAGAGCAUUUCAUUAGGGUAAAAUAUAACUUGAGGCAGUCUCUAGCCUAAAGCACCAACCACAUUAUACAACUCCAGGGAAUGAAUUAUAGUGACAUUUGUUCUUUCCUAACUAGUAAGCGACCCUUCAGAAUAACAACCUACUGAAGCUGUUUUGCCCUAGGACCAUUAUUGGUUUUCUCCAGGGUUUCCUUACUGUAGGUACUUGAGCACACGUGUUUGAGUUUAUUUUCCAUGUAACAGCCGACUCUUAAAAGUGGGGGAACCUCUUGUGGACCUGCUCACUAAAUUUCCACCAGGUUUCUGCAUUUGCUGCAGGAGACGGCUCAAGGAAAUACGGCAUCACCCAUGUGUUAUAUUUCCAAUACUUCCUCCCUCCACCUGGAUUUCUUGUAUAUUAAGCCAGUUAUAAACAGCAAACACGCUUGUAAAAAUCUAUAGAGCAAGAGAUGGCAACAUCUUCUGCACAUAAUCAGCAUUCUCAAAUCAGGUCAAAUAUAGCUCCCUUUGAAAGGCAGAAUUUAAAAAAUGAUGAGCAAAAUAAAUACUUCAUGAGGCCAAGUGAAUGUCCUCUUCUGUGGAAGCAAAUACACACUUCUUCCUUUUCCUUUAAGGAAGCCAGAUUCUGAUUCAUUUUUUGUGUGUGUGUUCAAGACUCAGCAGAAACACAAUGCUUCAUUAUUUUAUAGAGGCUUAUUACAACACGAUGACAGCACUAUAAUUUCCUUCAGGGGGAAGUGCGCUACUUGGCUGUAGGCCAGCCAGGCUCAGCGUCAUUUAGCAGUUCCGUACCUUCUGACACAGGCAAACGCUUCUACGUUUAGGUAUUUUGUAUUCUUUGAGGAAGCAUUUUUUAAAACAUUGUUUUAACAGCAUCUAAGUAGAAGCAGCAGGUGGAUUUUGCAUGUGAACCUGGUGAGGACUUUCAGUCUACAAGUGAUUGCAAGUGACUGUACUACCCAAUUUUCCUGAGGCUGACACAGUCAUAAAAUCAGUUUGCUGUGCAGAGGGCCUUUUGGUUCUUUUGUCAAAGGAACCCUGUAAUUGUAAAAUUCCUCCUCGAUUUCAUCAUUUACGUAGACCUAAAUAAUAUUCCCUUGUCUUUUUUUUUUUUUUUCAGGUAUGUAGUCAUUCUUGCUGUUUAUUUUGAAGUUAUAGUCAGUUAAGUGAAGACCUGAGGGAACUAGCUAAGAUCUAAAACUAGGAAUACUUCAUAUUUUUGUCCAUUAAAAAAAGAGACAAAGAUUUUUCAGAAGUCUUCUGCCCUGCCCUCCACUCCUGUCUCUUGUUAUCGCUGUGGACUUCUGCCCCAGGAGACUGUGUCUCUACGUAGGAGUUGUGCAAUCCUUACUUCCGAGAACUACCUGAGUGUUACUCAGUUCCUCAGUACCUGCGUGCUCACUUCCUAUGUGGACAGGCACGGUGGCUGCUGUGUGACUAGUCCUGCAGUCCAACAGGAGACACGAUGGGGAGGUACCCUGGAAGAUAAAUAGAAGAUAAGAAACCUGCUAGAUGACUGGAGGACAAGUCUCUGUUUCCUCCAGCUUCUUUUGACCCUUCUCCCUCCUGCAGACAGCUAAGGGUAGGAAGCCCUUUCUCUUCAUUCCCAUGUAUAGGGAGGCCCUGUGUGUGUCCUGGGGAUGCGGUGGUGACCAAAGUGGGCUCGAUGCUGGUUCUCGUGGAGUGUACAGUUGGGUGGAAGAAGACAGACUUUGUAUGAAUAAUCACUCCAGUAUGUAAUUCCUAACUCUAUCAAAAGGGACAAUGGAGGUAAAAAUAUUGAAAUGGAAGAUUUUGGCUGAAAAUGGUAGGAAAAUUUAAACUUUUAUCAUAUUUUUGGAUGUCUGUAAGAAUUAUAACUCAUAUUUUCUCCCCUUCUAUCCUCCUACAAUAAUUAACUUUUUAAGCUUAUGAUGCAGAAUUUUUAUAGGGAAAAGGAGAAGAAUUAAUAUUUGUUACAACUAUUUUAGCUGCUUGGCUUCGCUUGGCUCAACUGUUUAUGGGAAAACACAUUUUUUGGGGGUUGGUAAACACCAGUCUGAUUUCUCCCAAAUUAUUUCCCAAUGGUCUUGAUAUUUAGUGAGUCAGAACUGGACUUUGCAUGAAAGUUUUGGAAUUCCAAAAAAUUUCUGACAUCUAUAAUCAGGGGUGAAUGUUCUUGCACAUGAAGAAUAUGGGAAGACAAGUAGAUACAGGAGGUGGGAAAUAUGAGUAGCAGUCAUUUGCACUCUUCUCCAAAUCUCAGGAAGACUACUCUUAGAAGCUUAUGAGAUAAUUAUACACAGAAAAAUACAUUUUUUUCUGGUUCCAUAUCUAAGAAAUUAACUUAAAAUAACUUUCCAGUAUUAGAAGUUGAACACUGGAGGAGCAAGCUGACCUCCUUAAUAUAGCAGGACGACACAUUUUGUUAAGUUGGUUUUCAUAGUUUCCUUGAAAGUUAUGGGUAUAUAUUAGAAGAAACCCUUCAGUAUUUUUUCCUUUGUAUUCUUCUCCUGUUUACCUUUUGUCCUUUCUUUUGUCUCAGUUUUCCCUGAAUGAUGAACCUCUGUGAACCAUGUGAACCUAUGAGCGUUGUUGCUAAUAUUAAUAAUACAUAUGCUAUUGGUGGUUAAAAAAUGUGCAGAGGUGAGAGGGCACAUGAAUGGUGUGAUAAUGUUGAAGAAUACUUUUCACAGAUUUUUUAUUUCUUAGGUCAAGGAAAUUGCUAAUACUCUGUAAGGGAAAAGCUCAUUUGCAACUGUAGAUUAAUACUGUGCUAUUCUUGAUGAAAAUCUUUAGUUCUAGUCUGGUGUUUAAUUGCUUGCCAUUUUAAUAAAAACAUGAGAGCUGAAUUGGUGAGAGUAAAGAGAGCACGUUAAGGAAGACAGAAUAAAGGAAUGAAAAAGGGAGUGUGAACCACUACUGACAACCUCACCACUAGGUCUUCUCCAAUUGGUAGAACCCACUUGCAAGCCAGAGGGCAAGAGAGCCCAGAUGAUGGAACCAAAGGGGUCAACCUCUUGAGGUACAGCAAGGAAGAGAAGAGCCAAGAAUGAGUCUGGAGAGGACGAAGAACAGGCAGCACUCCAGUUACUCAACUCUCCAGUUCUUCAGAAAUUCAUGUACUUUCAGCUCCUUUUGAGAGAAGCACUUUAUUAAAAUUUUAAAAAUUAAAAAUCUAAUUUUUUUUAAAUUAAGCUACUGUUAGGGUUUUGGAGAGGGCUCAAUAAAUAGAACAGACUGGGGAAUAAUCUAAGUAAUAGGUGGCAGCUAAAAUGCCAUGCUUGAGAUUGGUCAAGUUAGGUUGGAGGCAAUAACUUCAUGGGAGCAGCUAUGAAUCUACCAACUGAGCCCAGAAAAUUGAAUUUGUUUUGUGUAACCAGCACAAUUCAUCAGUCUUCUCUGCCUGGUCUCAUAAGGCACCAGACCAUGUGGGAGAGAGCCUGUUCCUAGAGGAGAGUAGAGAAUGUGUGCCUCCUCUGGCUGUUUGGCCUCCCCACCCCUUUCAGAGGAAGAUGGGUAAAAAAGGGCAGGCCAACCCAUCAGGGCAAAGCUGGAAGUGGAGAGUCCAGGAUAUGCCCUUUGAGAUCAGCUCAUGUCCAGAGGAAGGGUGAGGCUGGACCACACAUGCCUCAGUAUUCUUCCCAAACUCACCAGGCGAAGAAGUCUCUCCACCGCCUUGCGGCAGAGUGAAUGAAGGAAAUGGGAGGGAUCUGCCUUUUCCCCAUUCCAUUUUCUCUUUCAUUGGUUCAUUCAACUUACACGCUUUCAGCAGUCAAGCACCCUAUAGCUGCUGGGAAUGCAAAGAUGAAUAGGAUGUGAUUCAUCCCUAGAUGGUAAUACAAGAACAGCAUACCGUUACUGAGGAUGUUCCUGAAGGCAAGGCAUGUUUUCAUUCAUUUCUCACAAAAUAUUCACAGCCACCAGAGAGAUGGAUACUAUUACUAACCUUAUUUCACAGUUGAAGAAACUAACUAAGGCUUGGCAAGGCUGAAGGACUUGCUCCAAGUCACAGAAGUUCGCUAGUGGCAGAGCCAGGGUUGAAAUCUAGGCAGAGCUAGGGUUCUUAAUUCCUUCCCAUGUCAUAGGCCCGCGGUGGAGACAGGCCUGUGAACAAAUAAUUACAAUGUAAUGAAUGAGGUAAGUGCUAAUGGAGGGAUGUACAGAGCACAGAGGAAGGACUGAGUAAACAGGCCUACGUGUGGGACAUUUGUGCAAUUUCCUCUGUCUAUUGCCAGAAAUUAACAUACUGAAGUCUUUUUGGGGCUUGAUUUAUUAUUAUUCUACAUGGAUUCAGAUAUACAGCUCAGUUCAUGGUGCCCUGCUGCCCCUCCCAAGUGCAACAGCACUUAAAAUAAUUUCUUCCUGACACCCUGGACCCUCUCCAAGAGUUCUGUUCUAGCUUUUGGACAAGGCAGAAACAGGAAGAGGAUGUCCUAAUGUUCCCUGACUAGAGACCUGAAUUGGAAUUUGGAAUCAUUUUCUGAUUUAAAUCACUGUUAAAACUCUAUCAUCCUGUUAUAUGUGUGUGUGUGUGUGUGCACGCACUUGUAUGCAUGCAUGUGAGUCAGUGUCAGCUAUGUUAUACACCAGCUAUAAUAAAUGUGCUACAUAAAAUCACUAAAAUCAGCUGUGACAUUGGUUAAAUUUCUAUACUUCUACAGUUUAUAGGUCUUAUAUCAAAUGAAGACAAUUUCUCUUCAUAAAGUAAAAUUUUCUCACCUCAAAAACUUGUUUGGCUAUGACUUUAUCAUAAUUUAGUAGUAAUAUAUUACAAUUUCUGUUAAUCACACAAAGCCAGUUAUGUUUCUGUUUCAUUCCUUUAUUAGGAAUUGUUUCCAUUUGGCCCCCUUUCCGGCAGCUUAUCUUGGAGAUACUGAACAUUCAUACAUUUGGUUUUCAUACCACUUGAAACUAGAGUGGUUACCAUUAAGUUUAUAUGACCAGACUGGGUACUGUAAACAGUUGUCUGCACUGCCAAGUGAUGGCCUAUUCAUGCCAGGAUAUUAAGCACAUCCUGUAGUCUGGCGUAAACACCAGGUGGAAUUCGAAUCCAUUCAGCACAGAGACCCUCACUCUUUCCUCCUUAAUAAAUGAAAAUCUCUGGGAAGUCCCUGCUCAGGAAUUCUCUAUUCCUUUUAAAGUCUGCGAGUCUCACUCCAAAACGAACCAAGAAGAGGACUGGAUGAAUCACUCCUUAGCUCCCUCUAUUCACAACGUAUUUCUUAGAGUGACCUCAGGAACUCACAGAGAAGUUCCAAGUUAACACAUAGCCCCUUCUUGUACUAGGUUAUUCUUUCAGGGAUUCAAGGUUGAAGAAAUUCUUCCUUCUUUACAAAGUUGAAAUUGCGUGGGAGCUUUGCAGCCCUGUCUCAUUACUAUACCAUUCUCCUAUUGGAGCUGUAGAAACGACAAAGUGAGACAAGGUGAUCUUCCCAACCACAAGAUAACCUCUGGGUCUCAAUGUCAUCAGAGGCAGUGUCUUUGACCUAUGAGAUAACUGGUGACACUAUUGAGACCCAAUUAGAGCCAUCAUCAGGGGAGAUUCCCAGGAGGAGGUACAGCCUGCUUAUUACUGAUAUCACCACAGAAAGGUCCAGGGGCAUUGUAGCUUUAUUUCAAUGGCCUUUCACUCCUUAGGCAUACCGGGGUAUCACACUGGCAUAGACAGCCUGAGAAAUGGAGUAUAUUUGGAGGAGAGCACAUGCAAUGGCUUUGUAGGCAGGAAAAGAAGCCGCGUCUUCUAAUAACUUACCCAUCAUCAAAGGAGUAAUCUGAAAAUUGACAAUUGUGGCAAACCACUGGCCAUCUCUCAAUAUCAAUUCUCUCUUUUUUCUAUAAUAACAGAAUCUCCAAUAUGUAGCUGGAAACAGCCUUGAAGCCCUGUUGGUCAUGUGACUAAGUUUGACCAAUGGGAUACAAGCAGAGGUGAUGCCAUUUCUGGGUUGUGCUAUUAAAGGGAAGGGCAGGUCCUCCCUUUCUCCACCUUACCUUCUGGUUGACUAGAAUGUGAGUGUGAGGGUGAUCCAUCCUGGAUCCUGUGGGUCCAGGGAUGACAGAGCUAUAUGAUAGAAGAAACCUGGGCCUUUGAGCCUCGAGCUGCCACACUAGACCUGGACUGCUUAUUCCCAGACUGUUAGGUGAGAGAGGAAAAAUCAUCUAUUAUGUUGAAACCACUGUUAGUCUGGGUCUCCGUCAAAGCCCCCAAGACUUUAUCCUAAGUCAGUGACUGGAUUUCAGAAGAAUAAAGUCAAUUUUAGUUGAGAACAUUGCCUUUUAAUCAAACUCAUCCAUUUCAAAAGGAUCAUGUGUUUGGAACAGAGGUCAACAGCUGUUACUCCUCUGUGGCAUUCCGGAGAUGUGGACAGAUGUAUUCAGAUUGACCUUCCUUAUUCAAUUACCAAGUGAAUGAAUCUGCUGUCCAGGAACUGUCCUAGAGCCAGAUCUGCAUUGCCUGGGUGCAUGAUGGAUCUUUGCUGACAGUGCAUGAAUUCCUCUAGGAUCUCAUCAGUAUUGAUUCCUUAGGAUGAUGUCAAAGUUACACAACUUUUGCUUCAUCCUCUUGAUGGGGGUCUGCAUGAGUAUAGAUAGGGUCAGCAGAAAAGCAACAAGAACUGCACCAGACUGAAGGAAGAUGUUGCAAGUCACACAAAGAAUCCUUGCUGAAUUUUUUUGAAGUUGGUGCUAAAGGUCAGAUGUGCCUAUCAAGAAGAUACAUUCCUCUUUAAAAACCUUGCUCCUAAGCACUGCAUUAUCAAUCACAUAUUCCAGCUGUUGGUUGAUCAGGGUUGCAUUUACUUCUGCCAUGGUGCUCGAAUCUAGAGUUUACUUUUAAAGUCAGAACAAAUCAAUUUUAAAUCUCUGCUUUCCUACUUGCUGUGUGAUUGUGGGUAAAUUAUGUAACUUCUCUAAGCUUCUGUUUUCUUAACUGUAAAAUGGAGGUAUUAAUGGCACCAACCUCCUAGGGUUGUUGUGGAGAUUAAAUGAGAUGAUGCAGGCAUAAUGCUUAGCACAAUGCUUGCUUGCAGGAAGCCUCCAGGAAACGUUAGCUGCUGCUUUAACCACUUGGAGCCACAGGCCUACCUCUCUCUGUAAGUGGUCAAAGGUUUUAGGUAACUUUUUAAAGCUGCUUCUCACCAUAUUCUUCUCAUGUAAUCCUUGAUAAAGCCUCCUAGAUUGUUCCUGCAAAUAUAUCUUUCUGUAAUAUUUGUUUACUCAGUGGGAUUAGUUGAUAAUAUGGUAGUUGUUUUUUGCUUUUUUCAUUUCUUUCAGGUAUAAUGUAAUUUUUUCAGGCUUUGAUCCUGCUGGUUUGUGAUAAUAUGCAUGGCUUUCUUAACCAUCUUUGUGUACCUUUUUGAGUAAGUUUUCCAUACCAACAGCUGGGGUAACACCAAUAGCUCAAAGAGAGAAUCUCAGGCUUUGUUGUUUUCCCACAAUCACCAUGUGAGCGUUUGAAUCUCUGUAUGACAGAGCUGGAAGGAAAAUUAGAAACUAAAGUAAAGGCAACUUUCUAGCUGGAAUUUAGAUCAAAGAAGAUAUUAUCCUGGUAGGUCACUCAAUAACAGUUAGAGAGAGCCCAAGGGCUUCCUGUCAUCAGCUGCUUGACAACUGUAAUUCUUAUAGGCUCUUCAGUGAUACUUUGUAGUUCAUACUGCUGUGUGUUAUAAUGAAAGAGCAUGCACCAAGGAGGAAUACUAUGCUAAUUUCUAAGACAGAGUUCUCAUGGUACUCAUGCUAUGAAGUAAAAUCAAUCCACAUAAACAUAUUGAACAUAUAUUCAAUGAUCCAUUUUUGUGGAUCCAACAAAAUUUUACUUAGCCCCUUAUCAUAAGUGUGACAUGAAGAUUCAUUAAAUAAUUUCUGUCCUAAGAGUGUGGAAAUUUAUACCUUGUGUGGGAUAUGAACAACUUAAUACGUGAGUUAUUUUCAUCCCACAUUACAUCUGAGGAAUUGAGGCUGUGACUUUCUAAGAUCACAUGACUACAAAGUGGCCCAGUUGGGAUUUGACCCCAAGCCUGUGGGACUUCAAGUCCUGUGCUUUUACCACUAGAAUUCCCCAAAGUGUUUUUCCCCGACACCAACUCAUUCUUUGACACCAGUUGGUUGUCCUACAAUUUAAUUCAUUUCUGACCCCCAUCCUGAAGCUAUUCAGGAACCCAACAAGAAUCACCUCAUUAGAACAAAAGAUGCUUCCACCACCCAGGGAAUUCCAAGGCAUUGAGGAGCUCUGUGUCAGAAACUGAGGCCAAAGACCAAAUAUGAAAACACAAUGCUACUACAACCUUUAUUGAUUGGGAAAUUGCAAAGGUUUUAGGAGCUCUUGCCAAGAGCCAAGGAUGAAGACAACAAUAUUACAUCACAGUAUUACAUGCUCUGAGAUUCUUUUUCUCAGGGUCUUAGCCCCAGGCUUAGUUCCUAUUAUGUUUCAACAGCCUAUAGAGUUUGAUCAUUUGUAUUAUAUUUUUCUCUGACAAGCCAUGUGGUCAGGACUUCAGUAUACUUGUUGAUUGAUUAAGGUCAUUUGUU